This 432-nucleotide ribosomal RNA is filed under the name uncultured bacterium. Its description in RNAcentral is "partial 16S ribosomal RNA". It matches the Rfam family "Bacterial small subunit ribosomal RNA", at positions 29 to 507 of the family's 1533-position model. The record is from RNAcentral.
AACGAACGCUGGCGGCAUGCCUAACACAUGCAAGUCGAACGAGACCUUCGGGUCUAGUGGCGCACGGGUGCGUAACGCGUGGGAACCUGCCCUUAGGUUCGGAAUAACUCCCCGAAAGGGGUGCUAAUACCGGAUAAUGUCUUCGGACCAAAGAUUUAUCGCCUUUGGAUGGGCCCGCGUUGGAUUAGCUAGUUGGUAGGGUAAAAGCCACCAAGGCGACGAUCCAUAGCUGGUCUGAGAGGAUGAUCAGCCACACUGGGACUGAGACACGGCCCAGACUCCUACGGGAGGCAGCAGUGGGGAAUAUUGGACAAUGGGCGAAAGCCUGAUCCAGCAAUGCCGCGUGAGUGAUGAAGGCCUUAGGGUUGUAAAGCUCUUUUACCCGGGAUGAUAAUGACAGUACCGGGAGAAUAAGCUCCGGCUAACUCCGUG